Molecule: long non-coding RNA, 1368 nt
Organism: Bactrocera oleae (olive fruit fly)
Lineage: Eukaryota; Metazoa; Arthropoda; Insecta; Diptera; Tephritidae
Source: RefSeq, a predicted model, not a curated record
UAUUGGAAAUUUAAGCAAAGUAGGUGGACUCAUAUACAAAUAUACGAAACUAAUAUAAAAUAAUAGAGUUUUGGCAUAUGAGACGCACUUAGCAACAGAUUGUAAUAGUGGGAGAAAAAGUUAUUCUGCAAAGCCGUUAACACUUUUUAACCUCGCAGACUGUACUUGACCAUUAUUUGGCUUCGUUUUCAUUGCUUUUUCUUGUAUUCUGCGAUCUCAUUUUUUAGUUUUUGUCGGGCAGCGUUAAGAGUCGUAGUCAGUAUACGGACCUAAGUCUUCCAGAGAAAUGAUGUAAUGUUUUUUAUUCCAAAAACAGCUGAAACUGAUGAAAGUUGUUUCAGUGCCUCGGCGAAAAAAUUUCAAGAACAACAUGUAAUCUCUGUUACACGGGAUCCGUCUGUUGAGUAUCGCAUUUUAAAUUUUAUAAUAGUAUUUUCAGCAAUUUCCGAAUAUGUGAAAUGUAAGAUCUGUGACGGAAAUGUCAAGUUUCAAACUGCUUCUGAACGAGGCCUUGCUUUUAAAAUUUUUUUGCUAUGUGAUAAGUGUGCAGAUCGUUACAUAAAUUAUAGUCCUUUUGUCGCGCACUAUUAUGAGAUAAAUCGACGAUUUUUAUUUGCCAUGAGAGUCCUCGAAUUAGGGUUAAAAGGUGCAAAAAAAAAUGGACAUGCGAGCUUUAUAUCACAGCCCACUUACGAUUUGAUAAUAAAUAAUAUUCACUCCAGUGAAAAAACAGCCACGGAAAAACUUUGCAAAUCAUGCUGGUUCUUCUGGGAAAAUGGAAGUUAAUUUAGUCGUCGAAAUUUUCCAACAUUCAUUGGAAAAACUUGGAGUCAUGUACAAAAACUACAUCGCAGACGGUGACUCCAAAACGUACUGGGGAAUUUUAAAGGCUGCAUCUUAUGGUAGAAGGGCAAUAGGGGCUUAGGCCUAAUGCGCAUUCACAGGCCGAAAAAGAUGAGCAGCGCGUGAACACUUCCGUUCGUAGAACGCGUGAGAGCACCCGAGAUGGAUGAAUGGCUCGCAGUCAACAUCAGCACGAGUUAUUAAAAGCUGCCGAAUCGGCGAAGGGUCUCUUAGUCCCAGGUCAUACACAGACUCUUUUGUAACCCAAACCGGUUAUUUGUGGACGAGGGGGCGACGAGGAAAGACGAAGGGGUUGUGCCACUCGUACUCGCUCUGUGUUCUUGUUCGUAACAGCUCGCUGCUACCCCUUUCAGCACUCCUUUACACUUUCAAAUUCUUUGAAUGGUUGCAAGAGCGCUCGGUUUCAAAUGAAUAUAUACCAUUCGUUCAGAAAUUGUUGAAUUCUGUUAUCUAUUUUUUGUAUGUGAUAUGCAAAUAUGUAUGAAUAGAAUAACAGAAAUAUUU